Molecule: ribosomal RNA, 1224 nt
Filed under: marine metagenome
Description: bacterial LSU rRNA
Rfam family: Archaeal large subunit ribosomal RNA
Source: RNAcentral
UGAAUGUCGGGAUAGGGAAACUCACUUCAACCUGGAGCCCGUGAAAAGGCAAGUAUAAUGACCGUACUCAGAACCGAAACAGGUGCCCAGGCAGAGAAAGCCAAGGCCUGUCGGGAAUAACCGACGUUAGGGAAUUCGGCAAAUUAGUCCCGUACGUUCGCAAUAAGGGAUGCCUGCUCCGGCAAGGAGCAGGUCGCAGUGACUAGGGAGCUCCGACUGUCUAGUAACAACACAGGUGACCGCAAAUCCGAAAGGACUCGUACGGUCACUGAAUCCUGCCCAGUGCAGGUAUCUGAAACUCUGGUUCAACAGAACGAAGGACCUGUCAACGGCGGGGGUAACUAUGACCCUCUUAAGGUAGCGUAGUACCUUGCCGCUUAAUUAGCGGCUUGCAUGAAUGGAUCAACGAGAGCUCCACUGUCCCAACGUUGGGCCCGGUGAACCGUACUUUCCAGUGCGUAGUCUGGAGACCCCCAAGGGGAAGCGAAGACCCUAUAGAGCUUUACUGCAGGCUGCCGCUGGGGCAUGAUCGACGAUGUGUAGAAUAGGUAGGAGUCAUUACACAGGUGCGCGCGCUAGCGCGUCGCCGAGACAACAGUGAAAUACUACCCGUCGUUGAGCGUGUCCCUCACUCUUUCAGAGGACACCGGUAGCUGGGCAGUUUGACUGGGGCGGUACGCGCUCGAAAAGAUAUCGAGCGCGCCCUAAGGUCACCUCAUCCGUGUCAGAAAUGCGGAGAAGAGCGCAAGAGCAAAAGGUGGCCUGACAGUGUUCUCCAUAACAAGGAACGCUGACGCGAAAGCGUGGUCUAGCGAACCUGUGUGCCCGAUCGAUGCGGGCCAUAGAUGACAGAAAAGCUACCUUAGGGAUAACUGAGUCGUCACCGGCAAGAGCACAUAUCGACCCGGUGGCUUGCUACUUCGAUGUCGGUUCCCUCCAACCUGCCCGUGCAGAAGCGGGCAAGGGUGUGGUUGUUCGCCAAUUAAAGGAGGUCGUGAGCUGGGUUUAGACCGUCGUGAGACAGGUCGGCUGCUAUCUAUUGGGGGUGUGAGGUGUCUGACGGGAACGUCCACAUAGUACGAGAGGAACUGUGGAUGGGUGCCACUGGUGUACCGGUUGUUCGAAAGAGCAAGUGCCGGGCAGCUACGCACCAAGGGGUAAGAGCUGAACGCAUCUAAGCUCGAAACUCACCUGGAAAAGAGACACCAUUUGAGUCCACCUGUA